Molecule: long non-coding RNA, 884 nt
Filed under: Equus caballus (horse)
Lineage: Eukaryota; Metazoa; Chordata; Mammalia; Perissodactyla; Equidae
Description: lncRNA (ENSECAG00000041961.2)
Source: RNAcentral
GUUUUCUUUUCCUGGUGGGUGUUUCCAUGAGGUGAUAGAGAAUUCAGCAAGAAUAAAAGCUGUCCCUAAAGCCUGCCUGCUCCUUGGCCUUCAACUGCAUUUCAACCAGCAGCAUUUCAGUAGACAGAAGAGAAAGGUGGAUCUGCACUUGAUGCACAGCAAUAAUACAGAUGUGGUGGUAACCGAGCAGUUCCCUGAGUGCCAGACGAUCAGUCAACAGAGGAGGCUGCUACAGCUUUGAAGAUAAUGGAAGCGGCCACAAGCCAAGGAAAGCCGGUGGCCUCUGCAAGCUAGAAAAAGCAAGGAAAUUGAUCCUUCCCUGAGCCUACAGAAAGGAAUGCAGUCCUGCUGACACCUUGAUGCUAGCCUCACGAGAUCCAUGUUAGACUUCUGACCUACAGAACUGUAAGUAGAUGUUGAUUUCCUUUCUCAAGCUUGCAAGCAGCUAAACAUGGUCUACAAAUUUUCUGCUAGAAGAGUGGACUGCAAUAUUGCCCAAACUUGCUCCUUCAUCAUUUAUUAUAACUGAGCUUCAACAUAUGAAUUUUGGGAGGACACAAAUAUUUAUUCCAUAACAGAAAGGGUCAAUCCUGGAAGGAGGGAAUAGAAUUUGCAAGGAUAUGAAGUGAAAGGUAAAGAGAAUGUUUGAGCAUCUGUUGUAAGGCCGGCUGUUUUCCUGCCUCCCUGGUUCCAUAUCACAGAGUUCUUCAGACGUGACUAGGACCCCCAUCCACAAUCUCAUCUUAACAUCCCAGGGAGAAAAGAAAUGGUAAAUGUCCAAAAUGCAUUGGAACCUAAAAUGAUAAUUAAAUUAACUAUGUAAAAUGGGAAACACAAGUCAUCAAGCUAGACAUGGGCCAAAAAACAAAGAUGAACUAUAUAUU